AGACGUCUCCGAGUUUGAUCAUGGCUCAGAACGAACGCUGGCGGCAUGCCUAACACAUGCAAGUCGAACGAAGGCUUCGGCCUUAGUGGCGCACGGGUGCGUAACGCGUGGGAACCUGCCCCUCGGUUCGGAAUAACAGUUAGAAAUGACUGCUAAUACCGGAUGAUGACUUCGGUCCAAAGAUUUAUCGCCGAGGGAUGGGCCCGCGUAGGAUUAGCUAGUUGGUGGGGUAAAGGCCUACCAAGGCGACGAUCCUUAGCUGGUCUGAGAGGAUGAUCAGCCACACUGGGACUGAGACACGGCCCAGACUCCUACGGGAGGCAGCAGUGGGGAAUAUUGGACAAUGGGCGAAAGCCUGAUCCAGCAAUGCCGCGUGAGUGAUGAAGGCCUUAGGGUUGUAAAGCUCUUUUACCAGGGAUGAUAAUGACAGUACCUGGAGAAUAAGCUCCGGCUAACUCCGUG
RNAcentral lists this ribosomal RNA (462 nucleotides) under uncultured bacterium. RNAcentral describes it as "bacterial SSU rRNA". It matches the Rfam family "Bacterial small subunit ribosomal RNA", at positions 1 to 507 of the family's 1533-position model. The record is from RNAcentral.